RNAcentral lists this ribosomal RNA (720 nucleotides) under Mycobacterium parascrofulaceum. Its description in RNAcentral is "bacterial SSU rRNA". It matches the Rfam family "Bacterial small subunit ribosomal RNA", at positions 36 to 771 of the family's 1533-position model. The record is from RNAcentral. Lineage: Bacteria; Bacillati; Actinomycetota; Actinomycetes; Mycobacteriales; Mycobacteriaceae.
CUGGCGGCGUGCUUAACACAUGCAAGUCGAACGGAAAGGUCUCUUCGGAGAUACUCGAGUGGCGAACGGGUGAGUAACACGUGGGCAAUCUGCCCUGCACUUCGGGAUAAGCCUGGGAAACUGGGUCUAAUACCGGAUAGGACCACUUGGCGCAUGCCUUGUGGUGGAAAGCUUUUGCGGUGUGGGAUGGGCCCGCGGCCUAUCAGCUAGUUGGUGGGGUGAUGGCCUACCAAGGCGACGACGGGUAGCCGGCCUGAGAGGGUGUCCGGCCACACUGGGACUGAGAUACGGCCCAGACUCCUACGGGAGGCAGCAGUGGGGAAUAUUGCACAAUGGGCGCAAGCCUGAUGCAGCGACGCCGCGUGGGGGAUGACGGCCUUCGGGUUGUAAACCUCUUUCAGCAGGGACGAAGCGCAAGUGACGGUACCUGCAGAAGAAGCACCGGCCAACUACGUGCCAGCAGCCGCGGUAAUACGUAGGGUGCGAGCGUUGUCCGGAAUUACUGGGCGUAAAGAGCUCGUAGGUGGUUUGUCGCGUUGUUCGUGAAAACCGGGGGCUUAACCCUCGGCGUGCGGGCGAUACGGGCAGACUAGAGUACUGCAGGGGAGACUGGAAUUCCUGGUGUAGCGGUGGAAUGCGCAGAUAUCAGGAGGAACACCGGUGGCGAAGGCGGGUCUCUGGGCAGUAACUGACGCUGAGGAGCGAAAGCGUGGGGAGCGA